CAGUAGCCGCGGUAAUACAGAGGAUGCAAGCGUUAUCCGGAAUUAUUGGGCGUAAAGGGCUCGCAGGCGGUUUCUUAAGUCUGAUGUGAAAGCCCCCGGCUCAACCGGGGAGGGUCAUUGGAAACUGGGAAACUUGAGUGCAGAAGGGGAGAGUGGAAUUCCACGUGUAGCGGUGAAAUGCGUAGAGAUGUGGAGGAACACCAGUGGCGAAGGCGACUCUCUGGUCUGUAACUGACGCUGAGGAGCGAAAGCGUGGGGAGCGAACAGGAUUAGAUACCCCAGUAGUCCCUGUCUCUUAUAC
This 301-nucleotide ribosomal RNA is filed under the name uncultured bacterium. RNAcentral's name for it is "partial 16S ribosomal RNA". It matches the Rfam family "Bacterial small subunit ribosomal RNA", at positions 509 to 807 of the family's 1533-position model. The record is from RNAcentral.